ACUUAAAUUGAAGAGUUUGAUCAUGGCUCAGAUUGAACGCUGGCGGCAGGCCUAACACAUGCAAGUCGAGCGGGG
Molecule: ribosomal RNA, 75 nt
Filed under: Enterobacter chengduensis
Lineage: Bacteria; Pseudomonadati; Pseudomonadota; Gammaproteobacteria; Enterobacterales; Enterobacteriaceae
Description: partial 16S ribosomal RNA
Rfam family: Bacterial small subunit ribosomal RNA
Source: RNAcentral